GCCUGACAGGACCCCAGGGUCCAGUCCUGUGCCUCCUUGGUAUCACCCUGCAUGGCCUAGGCCAGCUGCAGAGCGUGGAGACCAACAACGAAGAAAAUCCAGCCCUCAGUGAUAGCUGCCAGGAACCUGCCAAGGCACUGGUCUGCUGACUUGAGAGAAGCAUUCCCACCACUCCACUGCUGUCCAAGUCUCUAAUAAUUCACUCCACCAAAGGGUAUAAAGCAAACUCUGAGGCCCCAUGGCUUGCCUGCAUUGGAGAAGUGAAAGUUAGGGAGCUCUGGACUGGUCUGUGCUUACAAGAGUCAGCACUCAUGCAACAUCCCUCUGUGAGCAGCGACAGGUGUCACAUGGCAUAGAUGGCAUUUUCUUUGCAGGAACUUCUGAAGUACUAUCAAAGAUUUAUCUGCAAGUGUCAUGCAGCCAGGAUGGUGCCAGUCAUCAGCUGAGUUGUGUUCAAAAGUAGGUGACAGAAAUUCUUUGUCACAUAAGUGUAGAAAUAAAUCCUGAUGAAUACAUCUGUGUGGAUCAGAUGAUACGUGGGUUUAUUCCAAAGCUUUCAGUUAUGUGUCUCUACAGCUAGACAAAAUGUGUCAUCUAGGGUGUAGUGUACCAAUGGAACAUACAUUAUAAUUCUGUCCUUGCCAUGAAUCUGGGUUAAUUAAACUUCUACA
Long non-coding RNA from Columba livia (rock pigeon), 671 nucleotides. RefSeq lists it as uncharacterized. Lineage: Eukaryota; Metazoa; Chordata; Aves; Columbiformes; Columbidae. The transcript is spliced from 4 exons. The record is from RefSeq and is a predicted model, not a curated record.